CUACAGUCAAUGGGUUUUUGGUCAUGAUCUUAACUCUGAUAAGGAAGUGUGGAAGCUCAGAAAUGAUCCAAAAUCAGGUCUGAUCACUUCCUUUGCUGUACACCACUCCCAGUGUUGGUUGGCUGUUGGGACUAGCAGUAAGACACAUGUCUGCUGGGACGUGAGAUUUCAGCUUCCCAUCGACUCCAUGGUCCACCCUAUAGAUUGAUUGUGCAAUACAGUUUUUACUGGGAGUGAUGCAGGACAAACAGAAGAAAAACAAGAAACACGCGGAUCAGUUUCAGCGGAUCUCUCUGAGGAGCCAGUUGUUAGAACGGGAUCCAGAUGAAGAGCAAGGGAACCAGUAAAAUGGAGAACUAGUUUAUAGGGAACUAGACACUUUUAUUUGU
Molecule: long non-coding RNA, 389 nt
Organism: Saccostrea cuccullata (small rock oyster)
Lineage: Eukaryota; Metazoa; Mollusca; Bivalvia; Ostreida; Ostreidae
Exons: 3
Source: RefSeq, a predicted model, not a curated record